This 497-nucleotide ribosomal RNA is filed under the name uncultured bacterium. Its description in RNAcentral is "partial 16S ribosomal RNA". It matches the Rfam family "Bacterial small subunit ribosomal RNA", at positions 28 to 507 of the family's 1533-position model. The record is from RNAcentral.
GACGAACGCUGGCGGCGUGCCUAAUACAUGCAAGUUGAGCGAUGAAGAUUGGUGCUUGCACCAAUUUGAAGAGCAGCGAACGGGUGAGUAACGCGUGGGGAAUCUGCCUUUGAGCGGGGGACAACAUUUGGAAACGAAUGCUAAUACCGCAUAACAACUUUAAACAUAAGUUUUAAGUUUGAAAGGUGCAAUUGCAUCACUCAAAGAUGAUCCCGCGUUGUAUUAGCUAGUUGGUGAGGUAAAGGCUCACCAAGGCGAUGAUACAUAGCCGACCUGAGAGGGCGAUCGGCCACAUUGGGACUGAGACACGGCCCAAACUCCUACGGGAGGCAGCAGUAGGGAAUCUUCGGCAAUGGACGAAAGUCUGACCGAGCAACGCCGCGUGAGUGAAGAAGGGUUUCGGAUCGUAAAACUCUGUUGGUAGAGAAGAACGUUGGUGAGAGUGGAAAGCUCAUCAAGUGACGGUAACUACCCAGAAAGGGACGGCUAACUACGUG